This 253-nucleotide ribosomal RNA is filed under the name uncultured bacterium. Its description in RNAcentral is "partial 16S ribosomal RNA". It matches the Rfam family "Bacterial small subunit ribosomal RNA", at positions 524 to 776 of the family's 1533-position model. The record is from RNAcentral.
GACGAAGGGGGCUAGCGUUGUUCGGAAUUACUGGGCGUAAAGGGCGCGUAGGCGGACAGUUUAGUCAGAGGUGAAAGCCCAGGGCUCAACCUUGGAAUUGCCUUUGAUACUGGCUGUCUUGAGUUCGGGAGAGGUGAGUGGAAUGCCGAGUGUAGAGGUGAAAUGCGUAGAUAUCGUAAGGAAGACCAGUGGCGAAGGCGGGUCUCUGGACAGUUCCUGACGCUGAGGCACGAAGGUCAGGGGAGCAAACGGG